Molecule: ribosomal RNA, 812 nt
Filed under: Zalonema sp. ND030
Lineage: Eukaryota; Metazoa; Nematoda; Chromadorea; Desmodorida; Desmodoridae
Description: SSU rRNA
Rfam family: Eukaryotic small subunit ribosomal RNA
Source: RNAcentral
GUUUUACUUGGAUAACUGUGGUAAUUCUAGAGCUAAUACAUGCACCCAAGCUCCGACCUUGCGGGAGGAGCGCAUUUAUUAGACCAAGACCAAUCAGGCUUCGGCCUGUCAUCUGGUGACUCUGAAUAACUUUGCUGAUCACACGGUCCUCGCACCGGUGACAUAUCUUUCAAGUGUCUGCCCUAUCAACUGUCGAUGGUAGUUUAUGUGCCUACCAUGGUUGUAACGGGUAACGGAGAAUAAGGGUUCGACUCCGGAGAGGGAGCCUGAGAAAUGGCUACCACAUCCAAGGAAGGCAGCAGGCGCGCAAAUUACCCACUCUCAGCUCGAGGAGGUAGUGACGAAAAAUAACGAGACGGUUCUCUUUGAGGCCCGUCAUCGGAAUGGGUACAAUUUAAACCCUUUAACGAGGAUCUAUUGGAGGGCAAGUCUGGUGCCAGCAGCCGCGGUAAUUCCAGCUCCAAUAGCAUAUACCAAUUCUGCUGCUGUUAAAAAGCUCGUAGUUGGAUCUAUUCCGAGGGCUCAGUCUGUCUAACGGACAUGUACUGGGUUCCGAGGAUACUCAUUGCUGGUUUUCUCAUGGUGCUCUUAACCGAGUGCCUUGGGUGGCUAGCACGUUUACUUUGAAAAAAUUAGAGUGCUCAAAACAGGCGUUACGGCCCGGAUAGUGGUGCAUGGAAUAAUGGAAUAGGAUCUCGGUUCUAUUUUGUUGGUUUUAGGAGCACGAGAUAAUGAUUAAGAGGGACAGACGGGGGCAUUCGUAUUGCGGCGUUAGAGGUGAAAUUCUUGGAUCGCCGCAAGACGAACAACUG